GAUACUCUUCGUAUGAUCUUCUUCUUCGCAGGUACUCUCUACCUAUCAUUUAUGCUUUCUCUGAUUUUGAUUGGGUUUAUAAUGAUGAUGAGUACACAUUCAUCAAUGUUUUAUAUUGUAUUUCUUGGUCAUAGCCCAAUUUCUUAGUUGUUCAGAAAGCAACUAACUUUGGCUCAAUCUUCCAUUAAGAUUGAUAAAGGGUUGUUGCGUCGAUUGUUUAUGAGGUUAUUUAGAUUAAAGCACUUCAAGAACUUUUCCAAC
This 261-nucleotide long non-coding RNA is filed under the name Olea europaea (common olive). Its description in RNAcentral is "long non-coding RNA (OEUR_LNC008364)". The record is from RNAcentral. Lineage: Eukaryota; Viridiplantae; Streptophyta; Magnoliopsida; Lamiales; Oleaceae.